AAUUGGAGGGCAAGUCUGGUGCCAGCAGCCGCGGUAAUUCCAGCUCUAAUAGCGUAUAUUAAAGUUGUUGCAGUUAAAAAGCUCGUAGUUGAACUUCGGGGUUUACCCAUUGGUCAGGCUUAAUUGUCUGUACUGGUGAGAUAAAUCUCUACCUUCUGAGGAACUUUCAUGUCAUUAAUUUGGUGUGAUUGGAAAUCAGGACUAUUACUUUGAAAAAAUUAGAGUGUUUAAAGCAGGCUAAAGUCUGAAUACAUUAGCAUGGAAUAAUGAAAUAGGACGGAUUGAUUCUAUUUCGUUGGUUUCCAGGAUCACCGUAAUGAUUAAUAGGGAUAGUUGGGGGCAUUAGUAUUCAAUUGUCAGAGGUGAAAUUCUUGGAUUUAUUGAAGACUAACUACUGCGAAAGCAUUUGCCAAGGAUGUUUUCAUUAAUCAAGAACGAAAGUUAGGGGAUCGAAGACGAUCAGAUACCGUCGUAGUCUUAACCAUAAACUAUGCCGACUAGGGAUCGGAUGAUGUUAAUUUUUUAAUGACUCAUUCGGCGCCUUACGGGAAACCACAGUGU
RNAcentral lists this ribosomal RNA (561 nucleotides) under uncultured Glomus. RNAcentral's name for it is "SSU rRNA". It matches the Rfam family "Eukaryotic small subunit ribosomal RNA", at positions 546 to 1106 of the family's 1831-position model. Lineage: Eukaryota; Fungi; Glomeromycota; Glomeromycetes; Glomerales; Glomeraceae. The record is from RNAcentral.